Molecule: long non-coding RNA, 1032 nt
Organism: Dendroctonus ponderosae (mountain pine beetle)
Lineage: Eukaryota; Metazoa; Arthropoda; Insecta; Coleoptera; Curculionidae
Exons: 3
Source: RefSeq, a predicted model, not a curated record
ACAUAACGCAGUUUCACCCAUUUCCAAUUGACUACUUGUUUAUAUAUGUAAACAUUACGUUUAACUACGUAUUAAAUCUUGUAUUACUUAUACAAUUGGUUCAAAAUGCCACAUUUUUGCAGUGUCGUUAAAUGCGCAACGAGAUACGGUUUCUUUUUUCCGAUUUUAGCGCGACAGAAGAGAGAUGAUUUGAAUGCUUUCUCUAGUGAACGUCGAAAUGUUUGUGUUAAGGCUUUAAAACGGGUGCCUCUGGGUGAAAUCUUUGUGAGAAAUGAUCGUAUUUGCUUACGACAUUUCAUAACUGGAAAACCAGCUGGCUUGGAAGACAAAACUAAUCCAGCUGUGUUGCCCAACGAAAAUUUAGGAAACAUUUGUACUCUCUAGCCAGGUCAAUCUGCCGCCUACUCCCUAUUUAAAAGGUUGUUUUUAAGUUGUUUCUGCAUGGUAUACAAGAAUUUGACAGUGUUUCACAAUUUAUUGAAGAAAUUUGAGCAAAGCAGAUUUAUGGAAGCCGUAUUAGUGAGUCAGUUCAAACUGAUGUACCUAACUGAAGAAUAUUCAAGUCGUCUUUUUCAGAACUUAGAUUUUUGCAAUUCAAUAAUGUACACCUUGCAAGCAAAAGUUCAAGUGAUGGAUGUCAAUGAGAAUUAUGUUAAAAAUACAUGCUUUAUCCCUAACGUGUGUAGCUGAUAUCUCUUGAACCGUGCCAGACUCAGCAUACUUGUAAACUUGCAAAUCUUUAUAAGCUUUGAGCUGUAAUCCAAUGUAAAAACUACGGCUUUAAAUUAAGUAAUUCACCAAAUACGUCGUGAUGUUGUGGAGAACUUAUAAAUAUCAAGCCGUAAUGACCAAGGGGGAUCAAACAAGGGUCAAAAACUUCAGUUUGUUUAUCGUAUCUCCACUAAGCCUUGAAUAGUAUGCACUUCAAGACAUAGUUAUACUCAUCGGACAUUUGUUCUAAAUAAAAAUAUUCUCUUUCCUCAGCCUGAUAACCACCCCUGUUUAUAAAUAUAAGUAUUAUCAAAAAUGUAA